UCCAAAAGAGUAUGUUGUUUGAGCACCUU
Molecule: small RNA, 29 nt
Filed under: Bombyx mori (domestic silkworm)
Lineage: Eukaryota; Metazoa; Arthropoda; Insecta; Lepidoptera; Bombycidae
Description: piRNA piR-bmo-1364247
Source: RNAcentral